RNAcentral lists this small nuclear RNA (22 nucleotides) under Arabidopsis thaliana (thale cress). RNAcentral's name for it is "snRNA_07097". The record is from RNAcentral. Lineage: Eukaryota; Viridiplantae; Streptophyta; Magnoliopsida; Brassicales; Brassicaceae.
AAAGAGUGAAAGAACUUAAAAA